This is a long non-coding RNA of Saccostrea cuccullata (small rock oyster), 1586 nucleotides long. RefSeq lists it as uncharacterized. The transcript is spliced from 6 exons. NCBI's taxonomy places the organism in Eukaryota, Metazoa, Mollusca, Bivalvia, Ostreida, Ostreidae. The record is from RefSeq and is a predicted model, not a curated record.
UAUGGAUGAGAGCUGCAUCCCAUUACACUGCAGCCAUCGCUGGAAGAUGUGGUAAGAAUAAGAAUCUACUCUUUCCUCACUUUGACAAUCUUUUACCUAGAUGAUACCUACUUGUUUUAGCCUUGAUAUCUUAACUUGCAUUGACAGGAUGCAAACAAAAAGGACCCAUCCAUAGAAUCGGAACAGAAGGACCAAUGCCAAGGAUCAGAAGAGGACCUAUCCAGAGGAUCAGAAGAGAAGUACCCAUCCCAUGGAUUAGAUGAAAUGGACCAAUCCCAAGGAUUAGAAAAAAAGGACCAAUCCCAAGUAUUAGAAGAAAAGGAUCAGUCUCAAGUAUCAGAAGAGAAGGACCAUUCCCAAAGGUCAAAAGGAAGGAACUAUCCCAAGGAUCAGAAGAGCAUCCAGUUCAUCAGCUGCAGGAGGAAGGCAAUUUUAAGCUGGCCAUAUUCCCUUAUUGAGAAAAAGGAUGUCCUGAAUUCAAGUGCAUCAAUCAUUAGAGUAUGCAUAAGAUUAGAUCCGGACACAGGGAGACUAACUGGCUAACAGAUGAAGGGGUGACCAUUGCCCAGUUUUGACCAUCAGAAAAUUUCGGCCAAUAUGGUAAGUAACUGGUUAAACAAGCUUCAAUCCAAAGCCUAAAUAGGCAACUCUAUCAUUUAUUAGCAGAAGUCUCAAGAAUAGGAAUCAAUUGUGGCAAACCAUAGAAAAAUGGAUUAAGACAACCUCUUUCUGGAGUCCUAAAGAGAAGACUGUCAUCUGAAAGCAAGAGUGUUGAAUUUUUUGAGAUGGACUGAAUCCUAGGAAAGCAAACCCUAGGCAAACUACCAGCAAACCCUAGGAAUUAUGGUAAGGAUUAUGCUGGGUCCCGAAACAAAGAGGCGUCUUUCAUCAGCCUGAAAAAGUGCAAAGUGUUAGGGGAAUCAAGGGCAGCCAACCUUAGAUUUGAUGGGUUGGACUGGUUUUGAUGUUCAAUAAACAGGAUCUGUGACCUUGUGUUAAGGAUCUGUGACCUUGUGUGAAGGAUAUCUGUGACCUUGUGUGAAGGAUAUCUGUGACCUUGUGUGGAGGAUCUAUGACCUUGUGUGAAGGAUAUCUGUGAUCUUCAGAGGAGAUCAACUUACAUUGUAUGAAGGAUUUGUUAUCUAACUUCCUCAUACAUGUUUCUUGAGGAAUUCAAGUUUUUUCAUAAACAUUUUUAAAAUUUAUUUUUAUAUUGCAAAAUCCUUAAAAAUGUUACAGUGAUUCAUAGUUAAAUACAAGAGUGAGGAUCCGCCACUCUAAUUUUUGCUUACUCUGCACUUGCCACGGACACAUGUUUCCAUAAAUUUGCAAAGUUAAUAAUUUAUGGUUUUUCCUGGGCGGCAGAGGAGGUUUAUGUUAUUUUUAAAUACAUUUUGUUUUAAAUAUUCUAUGAUUUAAUUGUAUCAAAAGCUUUGUCUGUUAUUCUGGAAAAUACUUUACCUUAAUAUUGUGUAAACUUACAAAAUAUGUUGUGAUGCAAUUUGAGCUUUUUUUCUGUAAGUGUGUGUGCAGGCAUCAUGUAUAGAGAAGUUUGCACAUCUCUUAAUCUGUAAUGAAUUUUAUGU